RNAcentral lists this non-coding RNA (22 nucleotides) under Arabidopsis thaliana (thale cress). Lineage: Eukaryota; Viridiplantae; Streptophyta; Magnoliopsida; Brassicales; Brassicaceae. The record is from RNAcentral.
UGGAAGUCAUAAUCAUCGUGAU